GGUUAAGUUAGAAAGGGCGCACGGUGAAUGCCUUGGCACUAGGAGCCGAUGAAGGACGGGACUAACACCGAUAUGCUUCGGGGAGCUGUAAGUGAGCUUUGAUCCGGAGAUUUCCGAAUGGGGAAACCCACUGUUCGUAAUGGAACAGUAUCUUUAUCUGAAUACAUAGGAUAUUGAAGGCAGACCCGGGGAACUGAAACAUCUAAGUACCCGGAGGAAGAGAAAGCAAAUGCGAUUUCCUGAGUAGCGGCGAGCGAAACGGAAUUAGCCCAAACCAAGAGGCUUGCCUCUUGGGGUUGUAGGACACUCUAUACGGAGUUACAAAGGAACGAAGUAAAUGAAGCGACCUGGAAAGGUCCGUCGAAGAAGGUAACAACCCUGUAGUUGAAACUUCGUUCCCUCUUGAGUGGAUCCUGAGUACGGCGGAACACGUGAAAUUCCGUCGGAAGCUGGGAGGACCAUCUCCCAAGGCUAAAUACUACCUAGUGACCGAUAGUGAACCAGUACCGUGAGGGAAAGGUGAAAAGCACCCCGGAAGGGGAGUGAAAGAGAUCCUGAAACCGUGUGCCUACAAGUAGUCAGAGCCCGUUAACGGGUGAUGGCGUGCCUUUUGUAGAAUGAACCGGCGAGUUACGAUCCCAUGCAAGGUUAAGCUGAUAAGGCGGAGCCGUAGCGAAAGCGAGUCUGAAUAGGGCGUUUAGUAUGUGGUUGUAGACCCGAAACCAGGUGAUCUACCCAUGUCCAGGGUGAAGUUCAGGUAACACUGAAUGGAGGCCCGAACCCACGCACGUUGAAAAGUGCGGGGAUGAGGUGUGGGUAGCGGAGAAAUUCCAAUCGAACCUGGAGAUAGCUGGUUCUCUCCGAAAUAGCUUUAGGGCUAGCCUCAUGUUGUGAGAGUCUUGGAGGUAGAGCACUGAUUGGACUAGGGGCCCCCAACGGGUUACCGAAUUCAGUCAAACUCCGAAUGCCAAAGACUUAUCCAUGGGAGUCAGACUGCGAGUGAUAAGAUCCGUAGUCAAAAGGGAAACAGCCCAGACCACCAGCUAAGGUCCCCAAGUAUACGUUAAGUGGAAAAGGAUGUGGAGUUGCUUAGACAACCAGGAUGUUGGCUUAGAAGCAGCCACCAUUUAAAGAGUGCGUAAUAGCUCACUGGUCGAGUGACUCUGCGCCGAAAAUGUACCGGGGCUAAACGUAUCACCGAAGCUGUGGAUUGACAUCUUAGAUGUCAGUGGUAGGAGAGCGUUCUAAGUGCUGUGAAGUCAGACCGUAAGGACUGGUGGAGCGCUUAGAAGUGAGAAUGCCGGUAUGAGUAGCGAAAGACAAGUGAGAAUCUUGUCCACCGAAUGCCUAAGGUUUCCUGAGGAAGGCUCGUCCGCUCAGGGUUAGUCGGGACCUAAGCCGAGGCUGAAAAGCGUAGGCGAUGGCCAACAGGUUGAUAUUCCUGUACCACCUCCCCGCCGUUUGAGUAAUGGGGGGACGCAGUAGGAUAGGGUAAGCGCGCUGCUGGAUAUGCGCGUUCAAGCAGUUAGGCUGAUGAGUAGGCAAAUCCGCUCAUCAUAAAGGCUGAGCUGUGAUGACGAGGGAAUUAUAGUACCGAAGUUCCUGAUUCCACACUGCCAAGAAAAGCCUCUAGCGAGGCGGGAGGUGCCCGUACCGCAAACCGACACAGGUAGGCGAGGAGAGAAUCCUAAGGUGAUCGAGAGAACUCUCGUUAAGGAACUCGGCAAAAUGACCCCGUAACUUCGGGAGAAGGGGUGCUCUGGUAGGGUGUAUAGCCCGAGAGAGCCGCAGUGAAUAGGCCCAGGCGACUGUUUAGCAAAAACACAGGUCUCUGCGAAGCCGCAAGGCGAAGUAUAGGGGCUGACGCCUGCCCGGUGCUGGAAGGUUAAGAGGAGGGGUUAUCCUUUGGGAGAAGCUCUGAAUCGAAGCCCCAGUAAACGGCGGCCGUAACUAUAACGGUCCUAAGGUAGCGAAAUUCCUUGUCGGGUAAGUUCCGACCCGCACGAAAGGCGUAACGAUCUGGGCACUGUCUCAACGAGAGACUCGGUGAAAUUAUAGUACCUGUGAAGAUGCAGGUUACCCGCGACAGGACGGAAAGACCCCGUGGAGCUUUACUGUAGCCUGAUAUUGAAUUUUGGUACAGCUUGUACAGGAUAGGUAGGAGCCUGAGAAGCCGGAGCGCUAGCUUCGGUGGAGGCGUCGGUGGGAUACUACCCUGGCUGUAUUGAAAUUCUAACCCGCGGCCCUGAUCGGGCCGGGAGACAGUGUCAGGUGGGCAGUUUGACUGGGGCGGUCGCCUCCUAAAAUGUAACGGAGGCGCCCAAAGGUUCCCUCAGAAUGGUUGGAAAUCAUUCGUAGAGUGUAAAGGCACAAGGGAGCUUGACUGCGAGACCUACAAGUCGAGCAGGGACGAAAGUCGGGCUUAGUGAUCCGGUGGUUCCGCAUGGAAGGGCCAUCGCUCAACGGAUAAAAGCUACCCCGGGGAUAACAGGCUUAUCUCCCCAAGAGUCCACAUCGACGGGGAGGUUUGGCACCUCGAUGUCGGCUCAUCGCAUCCUGGGGCUGUAGUCGGUCCCAAGGGUUGGGCUGUUCGCCCAUUAAAGCGGUACGCGAGCUGGGUUCAGAACGUCGUGAGACAGUUCGGUCCCUAUCCGUCGUGGGCGUAGGAAAUUUGAGAGGAGCUGUCCUUAGUACGAGAGGACCGGGAUGGACACACCGCUGGUGUACCAGUUGUCUUGCCAAAGGCAUCGCUGGGUAGCUAUGUGUGGACGGGAUAAGUGCUGAAAGCAUCUAAGCAUGAAGCCCCCCUCAAGAUGAGAUUUCCCAUAGCGCAAGCUAGUAAGAUCCCUGAAAGAUGAUCAGGUUGAUAGGUCAGAGGUGGAAGCGUGGCGACAUGUGUAGCUGACUGAUACUAAUCGAUCGAGGACUUAACCAA
This 2935-nucleotide ribosomal RNA is filed under the name Priestia megaterium. RNAcentral's name for it is "23S ribosomal RNA". It matches the Rfam family "Bacterial large subunit ribosomal RNA". Lineage: Bacteria; Bacillati; Bacillota; Bacilli; Caryophanales; Bacillaceae. The record is from RNAcentral.